This 285-nucleotide ribosomal RNA is filed under the name Triticum aestivum (bread wheat). Its description in RNAcentral is "partial small subunit ribosomal RNA". The record is from RNAcentral. Lineage: Eukaryota; Viridiplantae; Streptophyta; Magnoliopsida; Poales; Poaceae.
AUGGCCGGGGAGCUCAUGAGCCUCGGUGUCCUUGAGAAGCACUUCGGUGUGGACGAGGCCGGCGGCGUUGGUCCUGACGAGCUCGCGAAGCUCUACCGCGGCCUGUUCGCACGCUUCGACCACGACGGCAACGGCACAGUGGACCGCGAGGAGUUCCGGGCGGAGAUGAAGGAGGUCAUGCUCGCCGUGGCCAACGGGCUCGAGUUCCUGCCGGUGCAGAUGGUCGUGGAGGAAGGGAGCUUUCUCAAGGUGGCGGUGGACAGGGAGCUGGCCAGAGCUACGUGA